CCUAGAGGACGACCUCGAGGACGACGCUUAGCACGACGCCGAGGACGACCUCA
This 53-nucleotide non-coding RNA is filed under the name Ixodes scapularis (black-legged tick). RNAcentral describes it as "Guanidine-II sequence". It matches the Rfam family "Guanidine-II riboswitch aptamer (mini-ykkC)". From Rfam's summary of the family: Simpler in structure and has fewer highly conserved nucleotide positions than the ykkC-yxkD leader. Despite this each of its two stem-loop structures directly bind free guanidine. Therefore, mini-ykkC RNA motif represents a distinct class of guanidine-sensing RNAs. Lineage: Eukaryota; Metazoa; Arthropoda; Arachnida; Ixodida; Ixodidae. The record is from RNAcentral.